GACGAACGCUGGCGGCGUGCUUAACACAUGCAAGUCGAACGGAAAGGCCCUGCUUUUGUGGGGUGCUCGAGUGGCGAACGGGUGAGUAACACGUGAGUAACCUGCCCUUGACUUUGGGAUAACUUCAGGAAACUGGGGCUAAUACCGGAUAGGAGCUCCUGCUGCAUGGCGGGGGUUGGAAAGUUUCGGCGGUUGGGGAUGGACUCGCGGCUUAUCAGCUUGUUGGUGGGGUAGUGGUUUACCAAGGCUUUGACGGGUAGCCGGCCUGAGAGGGUGACCGGCCACAGUGGGACUGAGAUACGGCCCAGAGGCCUACGGGAGGCAGCAGUGGGGAAUAUUGCACAAUGGGCGGAAGCCUGAUGCAGCAACGCCGCGUGCGGGAUGACGGCCUUCGGGGUGUAAACCGCUUUCGCCUGUGACGAAGCGUGAGUGACGGUAAUGGGUAAAGAAGCACCGGCUAACUACGUG
This 468-nucleotide ribosomal RNA is filed under the name uncultured bacterium. RNAcentral describes it as "partial 16S ribosomal RNA". It matches the Rfam family "Bacterial small subunit ribosomal RNA", at positions 28 to 507 of the family's 1533-position model. The record is from RNAcentral.